GACGAACGCUGGCGGCGUGCUUAACACAUGCAAGUCGAGCGAUGAAGCUCCUUCGGGAGUGGAUUAGCGGCGGACGGGUGAGUAACACGUGGGCAACCUGCCUUAUAGAGAGGAAUAGCCAUUCGAAAGGAUGAUUAAUACCUCAUAAUAUUGUAGCUUCGCAUGGAGCGACAAUCAAAGGAGCAAUCCACUAUAAGAUGGGCCCGCGGCGCAUUAGCUAGUUGGUGAGGUAACGGCUCACCAAGGCGACGAUGCGUAGCCGACCUGAGAGGGUGAUCGGCCACAUUGGGACUGAGACACGGCCCAGACUCCUACGGGAGGCAGCAGUGGGGAAUAUUGCACAAUGGGGGAAACCCUGAUGCAGCAACGCCGCGUGAGUGAUGAUGGCCUUCGGGUUGUAAAGCUCUGUCUUCAGGGACGAUAAUGACGGUACCUGAGGAGGAAGCCACGGCUAACUACGUGCCAGCCGCCGCAGUAA
RNAcentral lists this ribosomal RNA (478 nucleotides) under uncultured bacterium. RNAcentral's name for it is "partial 16S ribosomal RNA". It matches the Rfam family "Bacterial small subunit ribosomal RNA", at positions 28 to 523 of the family's 1533-position model. The record is from RNAcentral.